RNAcentral lists this ribosomal RNA (253 nucleotides) under bacterium. RNAcentral's name for it is "partial 16S ribosomal RNA". It matches the Rfam family "Bacterial small subunit ribosomal RNA", at positions 524 to 776 of the family's 1533-position model. RNAcentral also lists the same sequence under 1 other name. The record is from RNAcentral.
UACGGAGGGUGCAAGCGUUGUCCGGAUUUAUUGGGUUUAAAGGGUGCGUAGGCGGCUAAUUAAGUCAGUGGUGAAAGCCCGCAGCUCAACUGUGGAACUGCCAUUGAUACUGGUUAGCUUGAGUUUGGUUGAGGUAAGCGGAAUGGAUAGUGUAGCGGUGAAAUGCAUAGAUAUUAUCCAGAACACCGAUAGCGAAGGCAGCUUACUGGGCCGAUACUGACGCUGAGGCACGAAAGCAUGGGUAGCGAACAGG